Molecule: transfer RNA, 80 nt
Filed under: Octadecabacter arcticus 238
Lineage: Bacteria; Pseudomonadati; Pseudomonadota; Alphaproteobacteria; Rhodobacterales; Roseobacteraceae
Description: tRNA-Met
Rfam family: tRNA
About the family: Transfer RNA (tRNA) molecules are approximately 80 nucleotides in length.
Source: RNAcentral
GGGGGCCUGUAGCUCAACUGGUUAGAGCAGAGCGCUCAUAACGCUUUGGUUGCGGGUUCAAGUCCUGCCGGGCCUACCAC